CCUCGUCGUUCCCGGCGGGCUCCGACCGUCUUCAACGGCACUUCUCGGCCGCCCUCGCCGCCCCCUUCUCCACCUCCAUCUGCAGAGGCACACCUCGUUCGCCGGAGGUUGGGGUGGCCGGCGGUCGCGGGCCUCUGGCCCCCUCUGCCCUGCAUCCCUUCGCAGUAGCGGCCGACAAACAAUGUGAGUUUUUUUUGAUAAAUUAGUUAUUAAAGUUUACAUAAUUUAGUUAGUAAUUUAUUUAGAAUAAUUAGCAAAAUUAGUUUGAAAAUUUUAUUUAUACAUUUAGGUUGAUAGGUACUUAUUUACUUAGUUAGCUAGUUUAGGUAAUUUAGUUAGAAGCCUAAUUAUUGAACCUAAUUUAGGACAAUUCACAUAGGUUUCUCUGUUACGUAAUUUUUUCGAAGUUUAACUAUUGAACCUAAUUUAGGUAAUCUAGUUAAUAAUUGUUUCAGUGUUUUUACUAAAUUUAGUUAUUUAUCAGUCUGUUAGUUGUAUAUUAGCAAAUAUAUCUAUAUAUUAGCAAUCCCAAAUCCAAGUACAUGAAGAAUAAUAUACCCUAGUUAGUAAAUUUAGUUAUAUAGUAGUCCUCGUGUUAGUUAUGCAAUUUAGUAAGAUAAAUCUACACAGUAAAUUUAGUUACAUAGUAGUCCUCGUGUUAGUUAGUUAGAUACAUAGUUAGGUGUUUUACUUGUAUUAGUUAUAUCCCUAGUAACUUGGGUGUUGUGCAUAUCAAUUAGAUAGACAAUGUAGUAACUCUACAUCAUGAAGGAAGUGUGGAGGAAGAUCAGUUUGGCAAUGUUUGUUUUGUUGGAAUGCAAAGGGAGCCUUUGAUGUUUGAUGAGCGGCCAUUGUUUUCUUAAUUGAUGGGUAGUGCUCGUGAUGAGCUUAAAUAUAAUUCAAAUGAAGAUGAAAUCUUAGUUGAGGGGUACUUCACCAUGGCCCGUCAGGGACAAUUUUUAGACGGUGGGUACCAAUUGUAUCAGAGGUUCAAUGGGAAAAAUAUGUCAAAACUAUCAUGAAGAAUGAGUUUCAAUGUUUGGAUUUGGUUGUGUGCAAGUUGUCCAAGGAGCCAGCCCCUGUGUAUUCUCCUCCUAAUUGCCAACCACCCCUUGGUGGGUUCUUGCCAGAAUCGGACAAUACGACACCCUCUGCUCUCCCGUUACCCACUCACGAGGUGGGUGUGGAAGAUGUGGUUGUCGUGCCUGAUGCUUAAUCCGGCCCCACUGAGGUUGGAAUAUGUGUUAGUGGUGUUGGUGUUGGCAGCCUAGAGACCUCUAUGACCCAGAAAAUUCCAUGUAAGUGGCGUAGUUACACUUUUCAUUUCGUUAUCAUUCCUUUGUUCCAUUCUGUUGUCUCAAUUGUAUCCAUAUAUGUGGUUUUGUUGUAGGUGACAAUCCAAGUCACUACUACAGAAUGAGGCAUUGGUCGAUGCCUAAAAUGGCCAAAAACCUCGGCCUUUUUGCGGCCCGGGGUUAAAGACCCCUUUAGCACCGGUUUGUGUCACGAACCGGUGCUAAAGGGUCCUGCCCAACGGCUACUGACAUGUGCUGUCGGGGCAGAGACCCUUUAGCACCGGUUCGUGUUACAAACCGGUGCUAAAGGGGUCCCUUUAGCACCGGCCAGAGCCACGGGCCAAGGCAAACCCUUUAGCACCGGUUUGUGUUACAAACCGGUGCUAAAAGGUAACCCUUUAGCACCGGUUUUUUCCCUGAACCGGUGCUAAAGGUCUAGUUUAUAGGCCGGCUCCCUCCUCCCCUCUGCCCAUUUGAAACCGAGAGCACCAUUGUUGUUCUUGGAGCUUCUUCUUGCUUGUUCUUCAUUUGUUCUUCAUCUCCAACGCCCAUCGUUGAUCUUCUUCGACUCCGUCAUCGUCUCUUCGCGCUUAGAGGUGACUAACUUCAGCCUUUCUUGUCUUUUUCAUGUUGUUUUUGGCUUGUGAUGUUCCCAUCAUUUUUUAGCUCAAAUCCACUUUGUUAUUUUGAAUCAUUCACAUGAAUUAGUAUCCAUAUAUAUAUAUCAUAUUUCAUGGUUGACCUAGUUUUAAUGUAUUUUGCAAGAAUGAAUUAUAGUAUAUUUUUAUGAUCAUAGAAAGUAGGAUAGUUCAAAUUAAUUGGUUUGUUAAUAUCACUUGAUUUAUUUUUAUUACUACAUAUAAUGUCCAUUGUAUCAUACAUGUUUACUAGUAAAUGUGGAAUUUAUAAUUGUUUUAAAAUUGAGUAUGGAUAGUAGAUGGCAACCGUGACCGGGUCUUCAGUCUCUCAACGGGUUCAAAAGCGAUACCGUCCGGAACUCCCUCUCAUUACUUGUGGCAAGUGUGGGCAGAAGAUUUUUGUUGACACUUCUUAACGCAACCACCGGAUAUCGGCGACGGCGCCAGAAGUGCCCUGGUAGGGUAACUCUAUUUACUAUUGGAUAAUUCCGCAAGCGCACAGAAUGUACCGCUGUAGCACUUCACCAAGGAGUAUUCCAAGGUAUCGUAAUUUAUAUUUUCCCAAGGGAAAGCGGCUAAGUGUGUUUAACAAAAAGGGGAAUGAGAUUCCUUGAGUUAUCUAGUAUCAACUAGUGAAUAAGGGUGGUAAAUAACGAAUAGGAAGGGUAGUGGUGAAUCCAAGGUCCUAUGCUAAAGGUAAAUGGUAGAGUUAGCUAGGUGGGAGGACAACGAGUGAGUAAAGGACUCCUAUGUAUCUAACUUGACUUCUGUGACUUACUUUAAUAGAUAAUUGCCUUAACUACGCUAGAGCCUUACUAACUGUGUGCGAGGGAUAGCCGAGCUGGUAAGACGCUUAGAAGGUUUUUCACCUAACCCCUUACCGAAAGCGACUAUUGGGCUUAUGGACGCCUUACCUUUUAAGAACUAGCUUGUACGUGAGGAGAACCUAAUGCCGCCCACGAUCUGUCACCUACUAGGGAGUGCGCUCCUACUUUCCGUUCAAGCCAGCGGUAAUCAAAGGUAAUCUUAAGUAUGAGCACCACGCUCACACUUAAUCCUACAACGCUAACUAGUUGCAGCUAGCUAGAGCUCCUAUACAAGAUAGGACGAUGAUGCACACACAGGAGUGGUUACAGGUCACUAACUUCACUAAGACAACUAUAUUACUAAAGUAAAUGCACAACAAGACUAAAAGACUUGCACUAAGUAAGAACUCAGUAAAGUAAAGUAAGAAUAAUAUAUUAAUAAAAGGAAAGUCUUACAAAAGUAGAAAGGUACAAGAGCUAUACCAGACUCUCCAGAAGACGACUCCGGAGACCCCGAGCUUCGCUCGACUCGACUCUAACUCCCACUCU
RNAcentral lists this long non-coding RNA (3288 nucleotides) under Sorghum bicolor (sorghum). RNAcentral's name for it is "long non-coding RNA (SBIC_LNC000678)". The stretch from base 1499 to 1592 matches the Rfam family "MIR5387 microRNA precursor family". Lineage: Eukaryota; Viridiplantae; Streptophyta; Magnoliopsida; Poales; Poaceae. The record is from RNAcentral.